UGGGGAAUUUUGGACAAUGGGCGAAAGCCUGAUCCAGCAAUGCCGCGUGAGUGAAGAAGGCUUUCGAGUUGUAAAGCUCUUUUGUCAGGGAAGAAACGGUGAAAGCUAAUAUCUUUUGCUAAUGACGGUACCUGAAGAAUAAGCACCGGCUAACUACGUGCCAGCAGCCGCGGUAAUACGUAGGGUGCAAGCGUUAAUCGGAAUUACUGGGCGUAAAGCGUGCGCAGGCGGUUUUGUAAGUCUGAUGUGAAAUCCCCGGGCUCAACCUGGGAAUUGCAUUGGAGACUGCAAGGCUAGAAUCUGGCAGAGGGGGGUAGAAUUCCACGUGUAGCAGUGAAAUGCGUAGAUAUGUGGAGGAACACCGAUGGCGAAGGCAGCCCCCUGGGUCAAGAUUGACGCUCAUGCACGAAAGCGUGGGGGAGCAAACAGGAUUAGAUACCCUGGUAGUCCACGCCCUAAACGAUGUCUACUAGUUGUCGGGUCUUAAUUGGCUUGGUAACGCAGCUAACGCGUGAAGUAGACCGCCUGGGGAGU
This 534-nucleotide ribosomal RNA is filed under the name uncultured bacterium. RNAcentral describes it as "partial 16S ribosomal RNA". It matches the Rfam family "Bacterial small subunit ribosomal RNA", at positions 355 to 881 of the family's 1533-position model. The record is from RNAcentral.